AAACGACUCUCGGCAACGGAUAUCUCGGCUCUCGCAUCGAUGAAGAACGUAGCGAAAUGCGAUACUUGGUGUGAAUUGCAGAAUCCCGUGAACCAUCGAGUCUUUGAGCGCAAGUUGCGCCCCAAGCCUUCUGGCCGAGGGCACGUCUGCCUGGGUGUCACAA
This 163-nucleotide ribosomal RNA is filed under the name Brassica napus (rape). RNAcentral's name for it is "5.8S ribosomal RNA". It matches the Rfam family "5.8S ribosomal RNA". From Rfam's summary of the family: 5.8S ribosomal RNA (5.8S rRNA) is a component of the large subunit of the eukaryotic ribosome. It is transcribed by RNA polymerase I as part of the 45S precursor that also contains 18S and 28S rRNA. The record is from RNAcentral. Lineage: Eukaryota; Viridiplantae; Streptophyta; Magnoliopsida; Brassicales; Brassicaceae.